Molecule: long non-coding RNA, 4897 nt
Organism: Orcinus orca (killer whale)
Lineage: Eukaryota; Metazoa; Chordata; Mammalia; Artiodactyla; Delphinidae
Exons: 3
Source: RefSeq, a predicted model, not a curated record
GGCUUCCCGACACACCCGGAUGCAGUUAUCCUGGCUGUUAUCAGUGAUGGACCGCAAUGGAGGUCGAGUCAAGAGUUGCUCGGGAAGCCCUCAGAGUUUGGGGCUUCAAGGAGGCCUGUCAAAGGACAAAAGAUGAGAUCGCUGGGCGGCAGGGUGUCCCAAAGGGUCCUAGAAACUGCGCCUCCGCGAUUCCUGUUAACUUGCCGCCAAGUUUUUCUAGAGGGGUCGCUCCUCUUGGCAGGGUGGAGCCUCGCUUCCUACCCAGCACUUCUUUGUGUGCCGGGUUUCUGUUUCGGGCUUUUCCAGCUGCUUAGGAGCUGAGGGGGCAGUGCGGUGGCUGGCCGGGGAGGAGCGGGUGGGCCGGAGUGUAGAACAGAGAGAGGUGGGGCGCGCUGGCGACUCUGAGGCGGCCAGGCUGGGGGCGCCCUAGAGUACAGCCCCGAACUGCCGCCCCCUCUGGAGCCUGGCCCCUAGAGGCUGAGAUGCUUCUCACCAAGGGGCGCUCCGAGUAAGCCAUAGAGCUCUUCCCUGCCGACCCAACUUUACUCAACUUUGAUCUUCGAAAACAUCUAGGAUAUGUAUUGAUAUAAUGCAGUAUGUGAUUGGUUUGUGUUUUUUUUUUGUCCCAAAUACAAGCAAACUAAUAAUGUUAGUAAGUUUUAGAAUAGGGAAAGUUCGCAUGUUGAGUCAUGUGGUGGUUUUCUUUUAAGGUUUAAAUUUGGAUAACAUGCUAGUGCUUACUAGAUUUUACCAAAAGCAUUCUUUUACUGAGCUUUGCUGCUGUGCAGUUAUGAUGAAACAUGAAGAUGCCAGAAUUGUACCUCACGAUAAGGCUUUAAUUGCCAGAAGGUUCUGAAAGUGCAACAGUAAUUCUAGGUUUAGAUAUAUUAAUUUGAGUUAGUUCUCUUGCAGGGUGCCCUAUAGGUUUUGUCAUCGGGUGAAACAGGAACAAAUGUAGGUCUGCUGGGGUCUUGGCACAGUACCACAUGGACCUGGACAAAAGCAUUGUUAAGGAUGGCGAUACUGCAGCGAGGUCUGAUGCGUCUGAUGGAGAUACUGAGGCUGCUGAAAGUGAACUGCCCGAGAGGGCUGGGAGGCUGUCUGGAACACACUUAGUUGUGCUGGCUGAGGUCCUGCCUGUCCUCUCUGUUUGUUUGCUUCUUUCACAUCAUUGUCAUGAGCGCUGCAACAUGGAGAGAAAGGAAACUGUUAAUAAUGUUAACUUGAGAAAAAUUUGCAGGAAAGCCACGCACCACACCCAACUCCUUAACAGCUGACUCAUUGGACUGCCCCACUGCCCAGGUAGCAGUCACUGCAACCAUAAUUUCAACAGAAAGAUCUCACUCUUAGCUUUCUAAAAGCUCCUUUCCUUGGUAGAGCCCUUGGGAACUGGCUGCUGGUAGCUUUAAGGGCUAUUUUCAGCUUAGGAGCUAUGUCCACAAUAAGUACUUAAAUAUGACUGCCACUUUGGUGACAUCCUGAUGGUCCCACAAUUCAAAGAUGUGGGAAUGAGGCAAGAUUUGCCUGGAUGAUCUCAGAAUUGUGGGCUCACGCAAGAGCACCUCCUUUCCUUAUUAUGUACCCCGAAUCAUACUAGCAAUGACAACCUCUACCUGGGUAACAGCCAAAAGGAAUUCCCCUUCCACCAAGUACUGCUCAUACAGGGGCUUGCUCAUGGCAGCAGGCAGCUGUCAGAGCCAGUAUCCUAAAAGCUCUGGGCCUUUGAGAACUUGUUCCCAGGGCCCCUUAUACAUGAAGAAUGUUAAUAAGAAAUUACAAACACAAGAACAAAGAGGCUUACAUCAAUAGCCGUUCAAUGCACUGAACUAAGAAAUCCCAGGAGUAAGCAGUAAGACGAUGCAGUCUUGUAGGCCACGUUGGAGAAAGACGAAGUAUAAUCCUUGAAGAAGCCACACAUGCUGCAGCUACUAAAGAAGGUGCAUAAUUUAGAAAGGCAUAAUCUGUGGAGACACCAAAAAUGAACCUAAGCAACAGAAUGCGCAAGUCACAAGCUCACAAGUCACUUACUGGCAUCUACAAUGACUCACCUUGCAAAGAUACUUCCAGGAAGUAAUCUGCAUACUUGGCCAUGUAGAGUUUAGUUUUUUCCAAGCAAAUCAUUGGCCAGCCGUCAUGAAGAUCGGUUUCAUGCACAGCUUCGGAGAGAUAAUACUCAAUGAAAUGGGCAGCUGUUGGAAGGCAGAGGUUCCACUGAAAGGUUUCUAAUAAUAAUAGUUCCAUAUGUAGCAAAUUUUGUUUUGUUAAUACUAGAUUCAUAUUAGUCAUACAACCCAGGCUGUUGAGCUGCUCCAGCUUAGGCACACUAUCUUCUUUUUCUUCAAAUUUACCUUAUAAGCAAAGGAAAAUAAGAGUGAGAGAGAAAAUGUUAGGCGAGUGAUCAAUAUAAGUCUAGUCACUUAAAUGGGAUCUGCUGUCCUAGUGCAAAGAUUUAGAUCCAAAGAUAUUUUUUUCCCUACUUUGGGCAGAUACAAUUGUGCCAGAACUCUGUGGUUCUCAUGUCUACAUGUUUUCUCUCCUAGUGCCUCUGUUCCCCACCCUUCACCCUCCCCUAAAAAAAACCAAAAAAAAAAAAAAAAAACAGAAUGUGUAAACAUUUUGAUAUAUGUCCUACUGUGUAAUGAAAACAGUCCUAUGUGCCAAUGAAAAAAUAACUCCAUCAUCUCACCAGCUGAAUCUUUUCAGGAACUUUCUUUUGGGGGUCAGGCGGUAGUUGGUAAAAGAAAAUUAUGUUAGAACAGAAGAAAGUUUAAAGAAUUUAAUGUCAUAGUUAUCUAAAAUCAAAAAUAGCUAAGCUUCAAGUGUUUCAUCUCAGCAUAUUUUCAGCAUAAUCUCAAUUCCAGAGAGAUACAAAUAGAUUAGAGGAAAAAAACUGGGUGAAUAUCUAACAUAAGCAUUCUCAUUAUACAAAAAAUCCUAUUCCUCCUCUUCUAAAUUCAAAACAAAAACCUAGCCAAGCCUGUUAUUAAGAAAAGGGAGGAUAUUUUAUACCACUUUUAUAUCCCCUUACUCAAAGCAGAAUAGGAGUAAAGCUGCUCUGAUGGCUGAAUGUCAUUAUUUGAAGGCAUUAACUUCUUUUCAGGAAAUACUCAUCCAUAUGCACAGCUGAGGAAUAAAAUGCCCUCUCCAGCCCCUGAAUAAUUUUUCUAUGGAUUAUGUACCAUCUCACACUUUAAUUUCCAAGCAAGCAUUUACUAUAUAUAAAUCAUUCACUUUAGAUGUUUCUAAAAGUUAUAGCUGGAGAAAACUCAAGCUAUCAAGUACUAUUAUGAUUUUCUAAAUGCAGCAACAGAACCAAAAGAGUUAUCGUCAAAUCUCUUUGGGUCUUUGUUCCAUGAUUAUCCAUAGAAGAAGGGAAAUUAAAACUGAAGCUUUCUACCUCCUAGCAUUAUGUUCUAUUUUACAUUAAGGUAUAAAAUAGUCAUAUUAUAUUGCAAUUAUUAUAGAUUUCUCACAAUAGCUUUUGCACUUGCUCAUAAUUAGUUAGAAUAUGUUAUAUAUUACUAUAUAAAUUUUUUGUUCUACUAUUUUGAUAACUAUUUAAAUAUAUUUGAUUUCUUUAGAAAUCUUACAAUUUUAUCCAUUUAAAAACAUUUUGGGGGGAAGACCACGAAGACUACCAAACCAGAAGAAACCAAAUGAGUUUCCCUGUGAAGUUUCUCUUCCAGAAGGAAUGGGUUUACACCACACAUUGAAGUUCUGACAACAAAUGGUAGUGGCCAGAAUCACUCAGCCCAGAUGUUCCACAUAAUGGAGUCAGUGAGGUUUGUUCAAGUCAGCCUGCCUUAGGGGCUGGGGAAAAAGUACUGCUAACUACCCUGGUCUUUGCUUAGGGAGGGUGAACGAGAGUAGAAAGUUUUGUCUCCCAUGCCAAGAGACUCUAAGCUCAUAACUUUAAGAAGAGUCUAGUCCCAGAGAAGUUUAAAAUUUCGCUCCCACUCCAGAAAAUUUGAACUUUGUUAGAUUUAAACUACUCUUAACAUCGCUGCAGGUAAGAGAUGAUCUAAAAAACUUACAUAAUUCAGACUUUUCAAGAAUCUAGAUAGUCCUUCCCAAUUCAAAUCACAUAAAGAUAAAUUUCACAAGUUUUGCCAGAGGCAUUUAUUAGUACAGCUGAAAGCACUAACGUGAUCUUAAUGACAGUCAUCCAGCAUGAUCACUGCAUAAAUAUAGGAGAUGAACCCACUGUUCUCAGUAUAACCAAAUGGAAUUCUUCAGAAGGAGAAUGACCUAGGAAUUUAGUUCAGUCCCUCUGGAUGAAUCAUUAAGACUUUCAAAGUACUCUAUUUGUGUAGAAGCAGCAAUACUGGCAGUAUACUUCAAAGGAGUAUUGUAAAAAAUUAAUGAGUUUUUUUAUAUCAUGCUUGACGUUCCUUUGAAGAAAUUAAUAUACCACAAUCCACUGUUUAAUUCAAGGAUCAAGAAUGUUUCAUAUUAUCUCCUUGAAACUUUCAACAUAGAAAACAGUUGUAUAUGACCAAUUUCACAGCUCAAGAAACCAAGGUAGCAAGGUUGGCCAAUUCAUUUAAAGUCAAUUAAGUUGAGUCAAACCCAAAAUGGAAGACUUAUUUAUGUCUGAAUUCCCAAAUCUGUGCUUCUAGACCAAAGUACUACACCAGGUUAAAUGAGGACAACAACUACCAGAAUAGACAAACUUUUAUAUUAUUAAGCAUCCAUGGGGUUUUUAUAUUUAUAAAGUACUUGGCUAUUACAAGCAUGAAAGCCUUUGCAUCUUGAUUUGCAAAGAUAAAAAAUAACCUGCAUGCUGCAUAAAUAACCAUACUUGGGAUUUUAAUUAAUGUUUAAGUUUUUUUGGAACCUUUUCAUUAUAUAUAGUAAUACACUCAGAUACAUGGAUAUUAAAGGAUUUCAAAAAGUG